ACAGGUGCUGCAUGGCUGUCGUCAGCUCGUGUCGUGGGAGUGUUGGGUUAAGUCCCGCAACGAGCGCAACCCUUGCCUUUAGUUGCCAGCAGUUCGGCUGGGCACUCUAAAGGGACUGCCGGUGUUAAACCGGAGGAAGGUGGGGAUGACGUCAAGUCCUCAUGGCCUUUAUGACCAGGGCGUACACACGUACUACAAUGGCCGAUACAAAGGGCAGCGACACUGCGAGGUGAAGCCAAUCCCGUAAAAUCGGUCUCAGUCCGGAUUGGAGUCUGCAACUCGACUCCAUGAAGUUGGAAUCGCUAGUAAUCGUGGAUCAGCAUGCCACGGUGAAUACGUUCCCGGGCCUU
Molecule: ribosomal RNA, 350 nt
Filed under: uncultured Desulfobulbus sp.
Lineage: Bacteria; Pseudomonadati; Thermodesulfobacteriota; Desulfobulbia; Desulfobulbales; Desulfobulbaceae
Description: bacterial SSU rRNA
Rfam family: Bacterial small subunit ribosomal RNA
Source: RNAcentral